This 264-nucleotide ribosomal RNA is filed under the name uncultured archaeon. RNAcentral describes it as "partial 16S ribosomal RNA". It matches the Rfam family "Archaeal small subunit ribosomal RNA", at positions 717 to 982 of the family's 1478-position model. The record is from RNAcentral.
AGACGUCUACAUUAGAUACCCUGUAGUCCCAGCCGUAAACUAUGCGCGUUAGGUGUAUCGGUGACCACGAGUUACCGAGGUGCCGAAGGGAAACCGUGGAACGUGCCGCCUGGGAAGUACGGUCGCAAGGCUGAAACUUAAAGGAAUUGGCGGGGGAGCACAACAACGGGUGGAGCCUGCGGUUUAAUUGGACUCAACGCCGGACAACUCACCGGGAACGACAGCAAUAUGUAGGCCAGGCUGAAGACCUUGCCUGAAUCGCUG